ACUCAACUGAUGAGUCCCAAACGGGACGAAACGCGCGUCCCAGAU
RNAcentral lists this non-coding RNA (45 nucleotides) under Schistosoma mattheei. Lineage: Eukaryota; Metazoa; Platyhelminthes; Trematoda; Strigeidida; Schistosomatidae. The record is from RNAcentral.